GAAAUGCGAUAAUUAAUGUGAAUUGCAGAAUUCAGUGAAUCAUCGAGUCUUUGAACGCACAUUGCGCCCCCUGGUAUUCCGGGGGGCAUGCCUGUCCGAGCGUCAUUGCUGCCCUCAAGCACGGCUUGUGUGUUGGGCUUCCUUCCCUGGCAACGGGGACGGGCCCAAAAGGCAGUGGCGGCACCAUGUCUGGUCCUCGAGCGUAUGGGGCUUUGUCACCCGCUCCCGUAGGUCCAGCUGGCAGCUAGCCUCGCAACCAAUCUUUUUAACCAGGUUGACCUCGGAUCAGGUAGGGAUACCCGCUGAACUUAAGC
Molecule: unclassified non-coding RNA, 314 nt
Filed under: plant metagenome
Description: partial contains 5.8S ribosomal RNA, internal transcribed spacer 2, and large subunit ribosomal RNA
Rfam family: 5.8S ribosomal RNA (bases 1-105)
Source: RNAcentral